RNAcentral lists this ribosomal RNA (501 nucleotides) under Clostridium sp. A4-78. RNAcentral describes it as "bacterial SSU rRNA". It matches the Rfam family "Bacterial small subunit ribosomal RNA", at positions 8 to 521 of the family's 1533-position model. Lineage: Bacteria; Bacillati; Bacillota; Clostridia; Eubacteriales; Clostridiaceae. The record is from RNAcentral.
AGAGUUUGAUCCUGGCUCAGGGACGAACGCUGGCGGCGUGCCUAACACAUGCAAGUCGAAGCGAGUGAAUCUCCUUCGGGAGUGAAGCUAGCGGCGGACGGGUGAGUAACACGUGGGCAACCUGCCUCAUAGAGGGGAAUAGCCUUCCGAAAGGAAGAUUAAUACCGCAUAAGAUUGUAGCUUCGCAUGAAGUAGCAAUUAAAGGAGCAAUCCGCUAUGAGAUGGGCCCGCGGCGCAUUAGCUAGUUGGUGAGGUAACGGCUCACCAAGGCGACGAUGCGUAGCCGACCUGAGAGGGUGAUCGGCCACAUUGGGACUGAGACACGGCCCAGACUCCUACGGGAGGCAGCAGUGGGGAAUAUUGCACAAUGGGGGAAACCCUGAUGCAGCAACGCCGCGUGAGUGAUGACGGCCUUCGGGUUGUAAAGCUCUGUCUUCAGGGACUAUAAUGACGGUACCUGAGGAGGAAGCCACGGCUAACUACGUGCCAGCAGCCCGCGGU